Molecule: non-coding RNA, 302 nt
Organism: Cherax quadricarinatus
Lineage: Eukaryota; Metazoa; Arthropoda; Malacostraca; Decapoda; Parastacidae
Source: RefSeq, a predicted model, not a curated record
CUGGCUGGCAGUGAAGACGGUGCCAGGGCAGUGACUAGACGCCACCUCUCCUGACACAUCACCUGUCCUGUGUCACUGACAUCACUGACUUCACCACCUCUCCUUCCUGCUAGCUACACCUACUGGUGAGAGGUGACUAUGGGCGUGACCUGGGAAGGUGGUGGGCGUCUCAAUGCCCACACCCGCCCACUGACUCUGCUGACGCUGCUGACUCUGCUGAUUCAAGGAUCUCAGGCUUCCAGCUGUAUUAAGGAAUUUACAUGGGACAAUACAACGAAAACGGUGACCUUGGAGGGCAGGGG